GGAACGUACCCAAGAGUGGGGGAUAACGUANCGAAAGUUACGCUAAUACCGCAUACGAUCUAAGGAUGAAAGCAGGGGACCGUAAGGCCUUGCGCUCCUGGAGCGNCCGAUACCUGAUUNNCUNNUUGGUAGGGUAAAAGCCUACCAAGGCAUCGAUCUGUANCUGGUCUGAGAGGACGACCAGCCACACUGGGACUGAGACACGGCCCACACUCCUACGGGAGGCAGCAGUGGGGAAUUUUGNANNAUGGGGGCAGCCCUGAUCCANCAAUGCCGCGUGANUGAAGAAGGCCUUCGGGUUGUANAGCUCUUUUGUCAGGGAAGAAACGGUUUGUUCUAAUAAAGCANACUAAUGACGGUACCUGAAGAAUAAGCACCGGCUAACUACGUGCCAGCAGCCGCGGNAAUACGUAGGGUGCNAGCGUUAAUCGGAAUUACUGNGCGUAAAGCGUGCGCANGCGGUUNU
RNAcentral lists this ribosomal RNA (466 nucleotides) under uncultured bacterium. Its description in RNAcentral is "partial 16S ribosomal RNA". It matches the Rfam family "Bacterial small subunit ribosomal RNA", at positions 121 to 582 of the family's 1533-position model. The record is from RNAcentral.